UACGUAGGUGACUAGCGUUGUCCGGAUUUACUGGGCGUAAAGAGCGCGCAGGCGGUCGUUCAAGUCGAGUGUGAAAGCCCCCGGCUCAACUGGGGAGGGUCAUUCGAUACUGAUCGACUCGAAGGCAGGAGAGGGAAGCGGAAUUCCCGGUGUAGUGGUGAAAUGCGUAGAUAUCGGGAGGAACACCGGUGGCGAAGGCGGCGUUCUGGACUGCAACUGACACUGAUGAACGAAAGCCAGGGGAGCAAACGGG
This 253-nucleotide ribosomal RNA is filed under the name uncultured prokaryote. Its description in RNAcentral is "partial 16S ribosomal RNA". It matches the Rfam family "Bacterial small subunit ribosomal RNA", at positions 524 to 776 of the family's 1533-position model. The record is from RNAcentral.